GGAGGGGUGGUGAGAAUUUCAAAGAACUAUGCUCUGAGUAAAACAUUUUGUAGUGCCCCAUGCCAGAGCAAACUGUGACCUUGAACCAUAGCCUGGCCUCUGCCCAUAGGCCCAGGCACCGAAGCAGGUUACACGGUU
Molecule: small nucleolar RNA, 138 nt
Filed under: Myotis lucifugus (little brown bat)
Lineage: Eukaryota; Metazoa; Chordata; Mammalia; Chiroptera; Vespertilionidae
Description: Small nucleolar RNA SNORA42/SNORA80 family (ENSMLUG00000025962.1)
Source: RNAcentral